This 386-nucleotide ribosomal RNA is filed under the name uncultured bacterium. RNAcentral describes it as "bacterial SSU rRNA". It matches the Rfam family "Bacterial small subunit ribosomal RNA", at positions 30 to 416 of the family's 1533-position model. The record is from RNAcentral.
AUUGAACGCUGGCGGCAUGCUUUACACAUGCAAGUCGAACGGUAACAGGGAGCUUGCUCCGCUGACGAGUGGCGAACGGGUGAGUAAUGCAUCGGAACAUGCCCAGUCAUGGGGGAUAACUACGCGAAAGCGUAGCUAAUACCGCAUACGCCCUGAGGGGGAAAGUGGGGGAUCUUAGGACCUCACGUGAUUGGAGUGGCCGAUGUCAGAUUAGCUAGUUGGUGAGGUAAAGGCUCACCAAGGCGACGAUCUGUAGCGGGUCUGAGAGGAUGAUCCGCCACACUGGGACUGAGACACGGCCCAGACUCCUACGGGAGGCAGCAGUGGGGAAUUUUGGACAAUGGGCGCAAGCCUGAUCCAGCCAUGCCGCGUGAGUGAAGAAGGCC